GCUACGGGCGGCAGCAGUGAGGAAUAUUGGUCAAUGGACGCAAGUCUGAACCAGCCAUGCCGCGUGCAGGAAGACGGCUCUAUGAGUUGUAAACUGCUUUUGUACGAGGGUAAACGCAGAUACGCGUAUCUGUCUGAAAGUAUCGUACGAAUAAGGAUCGGCUAACUCAGUGCCAGCAGCCGCGGUAAUACGGAGGAUUCAAGCGUUAUCCGGAUUUAUUUGGUUUAAAGGGUGCGUAGGCGGAACAUUAAGUCAGCGGUAAAAUCGAGGGGCGAAACCCCUUUAAGCCGUUGAACAUGGUGAUCUUGAGUGGGCGAGAAGGAUGCGGAAUGCGUGGUGUAGCGGUGAAAUGCAUAGAUAUCACGCAGAACUCCGAUUGCGAAGGCAGCAUACCGGCGCCCGACUGACGCUGAGGCACGAAAGCGUGGGGAUCGAACAGGAUUAGAUACCCCAGUAGUC
Molecule: ribosomal RNA, 459 nt
Filed under: uncultured bacterium
Lineage: Bacteria
Description: partial 16S ribosomal RNA
Rfam family: Bacterial small subunit ribosomal RNA
Source: RNAcentral